RNAcentral lists this long non-coding RNA (222 nucleotides) under Vitis vinifera (wine grape). RNAcentral's name for it is "long non-coding RNA (VVIN_LNC007580)". Lineage: Eukaryota; Viridiplantae; Streptophyta; Magnoliopsida; Vitales; Vitaceae. The record is from RNAcentral.
GGAAGUUAUGUUGUUCAAAAUAAAGAGGACCAACUUAGUUAAUAAGGUUUGUAUCUACUCCUAUCAAGAAGGCUUGAGGUAUCUCACGGGUAUAGAAUAACCCUUGCAAGAUUACAUUGAGAGGUCAAACUUUACACUGCAUUCCCAUUGCUGAAACUCCGAAACCCGAUGUUUUUCCUUGGAUUUCUCGAAAUUGAAACUGAGGAUUCAGUCAUCAUCCAG